UCGUCCGGCUGGCGCGGGACCUGCUGCCCUCCACCUACGGCGUGGAGGCGUACGCCGGUACGUUCGGGGCGCACCCGGACUGG
RNAcentral lists this transfer RNA (83 nucleotides) under Streptomyces hygroscopicus subsp. hygroscopicus. Its description in RNAcentral is "tRNA-Arg". Lineage: Bacteria; Bacillati; Actinomycetota; Actinomycetes; Kitasatosporales; Streptomycetaceae. The record is from RNAcentral.